This 241-nucleotide unclassified non-coding RNA is filed under the name Hevea brasiliensis (rubber tree). The record is from RNAcentral. Lineage: Eukaryota; Viridiplantae; Streptophyta; Magnoliopsida; Malpighiales; Euphorbiaceae.
AUGAAGCCACUGUUCCAAGUUCCCGUUGUUCACAUACUCGUACACCAGCAUCCUAUGAGAUCCUUCAGCACAAUAGCCAAGCAGUCUUGCUAGGUUUUUGUGCCGGACUCUUCCAAUGGCUUCCACUUCAACUUUGAAUUCCCUCUCAGNNNCCUGUCAUUAAGCAAGUUCUUGACAGCUACCUGAGUGUUAUCCUCUAAAACACCGUGGUAGACUAUCCCAUACCCUCCCUCGCCGAUCA